CCUACGGGUGGCAGCAGUGGGGAAUAUUGGGCAAUGGGCGCAAGCCUGACCCAGCAACGCCGCGUGAAGGAAGAAGGCUUUCGGGUUGUAAACUUCUUUUGUCAGGGACGAAGCAAGUGACGGUACCUGACGCAUAAGCCACGGCUAACUACGUGCCAGCAGCCGCGGUAAUACGUAGGUGGCAAGCGUUAUCCGGAUUUACUGGGUGUAAAGGGCGUGUAGGCGGGGAAGCAAGUCAGAUGUGAAAACCACGGGCGCAACCUGUGGCCUGCAUUUGAAACUGUUUUUCUUGAGUGCUGGAGAGGCGAGUGGAAUUCCGGGUGUAGCGGUGAAAUGCGUAGAGAGACGGAGGAAUACCAGUGGCGAAGGCGGAUUGCUGGACAGUGACUGACGCUGAGGUGCGAAAGCGUGGGGAGCAAACAGGAUUAGAUACCCGUGUAGUC
RNAcentral lists this ribosomal RNA (443 nucleotides) under uncultured bacterium. RNAcentral describes it as "partial 16S ribosomal RNA". It matches the Rfam family "Bacterial small subunit ribosomal RNA", at positions 338 to 795 of the family's 1533-position model. The record is from RNAcentral.